Molecule: ribosomal RNA, 441 nt
Filed under: uncultured bacterium
Lineage: Bacteria
Description: partial 16S ribosomal RNA
Rfam family: Bacterial small subunit ribosomal RNA
Source: RNAcentral
CCUACGGGAGGCAGCAGUGGGGAAUAUUGGGCAAUGGAGUAAAGUCUGACCCAGCAAAGCCGCGUGAAGGAUGAAGGUUUUCGGAUUUUAAACUUCUGUUGCGAGGGAUGAAGAAUGGCGGUAGCUCGGGAGGAAGCCCCGUCAAACUACGUACCAGCAGCCGCGGUAAUACGUAGGGGGCAAGCGUUGUCCGGAAUGAAUGGGCGUAAAGGGAGUGUAGGCGGCCUUUUAAGUUAUAUGUGAAAGCCCCCGGCUUAACCGAGGAACUGCAUAUAAAACUGGCGGGCUGGAGUGCAGGAGAGGUAAGCGGAAUGUCUAGUGUAGCGGUGGAAUGCGUAGAUAUUAGGAAGAACACCGGAGGCGAAGGCGGCUUACGGGACUGUAACUGACGCUGAGGCUCGAAAGCGUGGGGAGCAAACAGGAUUAGAUACCCGAGUAGUC